RNAcentral lists this long non-coding RNA (222 nucleotides) under Olea europaea (common olive). Its description in RNAcentral is "long non-coding RNA (OEUR_LNC012110)". Lineage: Eukaryota; Viridiplantae; Streptophyta; Magnoliopsida; Lamiales; Oleaceae. The record is from RNAcentral.
UUUUGAGCUUAAAAUAUCAUUAUGUUUUUUAAGAUUAAUUUUUUGCACGGGAAACAAGGCUGUUAAAAGUGGGAACAAUGAAUUGAAUGAACUAUAUGGAUUGGUGACUGUAAUUCAUGAAAUGGGUAAAUAACCAAAUGUUCUCAAGGGCAAAAGAAAAAUGUCCUGUGUGUUUACUAAAAAUUCAUAUCAAGUGGUUAGAUUUAACUUGAUCCAUGCCAG